GCUGAGUGGGGAGGAGAGAGGGACAGAGAGCCUGCUUCUUUAAAGGAGCAAAGCGGGAGAGGAGAGGAGCCGCUUACACGAGUGUAAGCGGCUCCUGUCCGGUUGGUUCCUUUAAAGCAAGCAGGCUCUCUGUCCCUCUCUCCUCCCCACUCAGC
Podarcis lilfordi (Lilford's wall lizard) is the source of this 155-nucleotide non-coding RNA. Lineage: Eukaryota; Metazoa; Chordata; Lepidosauria; Squamata; Lacertidae. The record is from the annotation of a GenBank genome assembly.